RNAcentral lists this transfer RNA (65 nucleotides) under Elateroidea sp. 9 KM-2017. RNAcentral describes it as "tRNA-Glu". The record is from RNAcentral. Lineage: Eukaryota; Metazoa; Arthropoda; Insecta; Coleoptera.
AUUUAUAUAGUUUAACAAAAACAUUACAUUUUCAUUGUAAAAUUAAAUUUUUAAUUUUGUAAAUA